RNAcentral lists this ribosomal RNA (509 nucleotides) under uncultured bacterium. RNAcentral describes it as "partial 16S ribosomal RNA". It matches the Rfam family "Bacterial small subunit ribosomal RNA", at positions 28 to 507 of the family's 1533-position model. The record is from RNAcentral.
GACGAACGCUGGCGGCGUGCUUAACACAUGCAAGUCGAACGAACAGCGGUGGAACCUUCCUUCUAUCAAUUUUCGUGGCGCACGUGUGAGUAACGCGUAAUCAACAUGUACUUGACAGGGGGACAACAGGGGGAAACGACUGAUAAUACGGCAUACGAUCGAAUCUCGGCAUUGAGGAUAGAUAAAAGGUUGUGUCGACAUGUAUGCUUUGAUUGGAGGAGGGGUACGUGCCUGAUUAGCUAGUUGGUUGGCAAACGGCCGACCAGGGCAAGGAUCCGUAGCCGACCUAGGAGAGUAAUCGGCCACAUGGGAACGGGGACACGGCCAGGCCUCCACCGGGAGGCAGCAGUGGGGAACCUUCCGCAUUGGGGGAAGGCCUGCCGGAGCAACGCGGCGUGGGUGAGGAAGGCCUUCGGUUCGAAAGACUCUUUUAUCGGGACGAAAGACAUGUUUACGUAACUAUGCACGUAUUGACGGUACCUGAACAGAAAGCCACGGCUAACUACGUG